AUUUUAAGAAAAAGUUGAGGGGGCAGGCGUUUGGCCUAUCAGUUGGAAUGCCUCUAUCCCAUAUUGCAGAGUCUAGGUUCAAGUCCUGGCUCCAUUCGGAUUCUGACUUUCUGUUAAUGCAGACCCUGGAAGGUAAUAGGUGAUGGUUCAAGCAGUUGGGUCCCUGCUACUCUGGUUCCUAGCCUCAUCCUGGCUCAGUCUUGAUUUGGCAGGCAUUUAGGAAUGGAACUAGCAUCUGGGCGGGGGGGGUCCUCUCUCUUUCUCUCUCUCUUUCUCUCUCUCUCUCUCUCUCUCUCUCUGGCAUGCUCACUCUGUUUCUCUGCCUUUGAAAUAAACAGAUAAAAAAUUGUAAAGAUACAAUUGAGAAUUUAUCAGAGAAGUCAUAGGUUAAAACUUUUUAAAUUUUGAGCAGAAACAUAUCAUAUAUUGGAGAAAAUAAUAGUAUCUCUUAUAUAAUGUAGGCUGUGCUAGACACAUUGAUUUGUUUGCCCAAUGUCGCCUGCUUUCAUGAGAAAUGUUCUCUCAUCCGCAUGGUUACCAUGGGAGCAGCAAUUUUCAGAGCCACCUCUUGGUAUCUGAUGAAAGCUUCUGUUAACACCUCUUCCAACUGCACAUUCAGUGACAACACAUUGGCACCUUGAAAUUAGCCGUGGUGAAUGUAUUUAUAACACAGAGGUCAAUGAGCACCACAGGCUAGAGCCCCUCCCUUCUCCCUACCCCAGGUUCCCAUUGCCACGCAGCAUCAGCACACCACUCUACCCAGCGCGCUGUGACUGUCCCUUUGGCUGUGGCCAUUCGUGCAGAGUGGCUGAAACAGUAAUCUUAGGAGAUGCUGGAGAGAAAGAGGACAUGUUUAUUGCCCCGAGAGAACCCUGACAACAAUUCUGGCAUAAUAGGAAAGAACAAUCAGGGCCGGCACUGUGGUGUAGUGUGCACUAUGGGCGUUGGUUCGAGACCCAACUGCUCCACUUCUGAUCCAGCUCUCUGCCGUG
Molecule: long non-coding RNA, 992 nt
Organism: Oryctolagus cuniculus (rabbit)
Lineage: Eukaryota; Metazoa; Chordata; Mammalia; Lagomorpha; Leporidae
Source: Ensembl